Molecule: transfer RNA, 62 nt
Filed under: Cotesia glomerata
Lineage: Eukaryota; Metazoa; Arthropoda; Insecta; Hymenoptera; Braconidae
Description: tRNA-Ser
Rfam family: tRNA
About the family: Transfer RNA (tRNA) molecules are approximately 80 nucleotides in length. Their secondary structure includes four short double-helical elements and three loops (D, anti-codon, and T loops).
Source: RNAcentral
GACCGGAUAGCUCAAAUGGUAGAGUAACCGGAAGGUUCUGGGUUCGAAUCCCAGUCCGAGCU